CCUACGGGUGGCAGCAGUGGGGAAUAUUGCACAAUGGGGGGAACCCUGAUGCAGCGACGCCGCGUGAGUGAAGAAGUAUUUCGGUAUGUAAAGCUCUAUCAGCAGGGAAGAAGAUGACGGUACCUGACUAAGAAGCCCCGGCUAACUACGUGCCAGCAGCCGCGGGAAUACGUAGGGGGCAAGCGUUAUCCGGAUUUACUGGGUGUAAAGGGAGCGUAGGCGGCAGGGCAAGUAUGGAGUGAAAGCCCGGGGCCCAACCCCGGGACUGCUUUGGAAACUGCCAUGCUAGAGUGCUGGAGAGGUAAGCGGAAUGCCUGGUGUAGCGGUGAAAUGCGUAGAUAUUAUGAGGAACACCAGUGGCGAAGGCGGCUUACUGGACAGUAACUGACGUUGAGGCACGAAAGCGUGGGGAGCAAACAGGAUUAGAUACCCGAGUAGUC
RNAcentral lists this ribosomal RNA (440 nucleotides) under uncultured bacterium. Its description in RNAcentral is "partial 16S ribosomal RNA". It matches the Rfam family "Bacterial small subunit ribosomal RNA", at positions 338 to 795 of the family's 1533-position model. The record is from RNAcentral.